UAUUUUGACUAUACAAAGGUAUUGUAAUAAGAUUUUAAUUGAAUGCUAAGAGAAUGGAAUUUCAGGGAAAAACUGUUUUAAACUUAAAAAUUAAAUUUAUUUUAAUUUGUGAAGAAACAAUUAUUUAAAUUAAGGACAAGAAGACCCUAAGAAUUUUAAAAAUAAUAAUUUUAUUUAUUAAAAUUAUUAUUUUUUAGUUGGGGCAACUAAAAAAGAUUAUAAACUUUUUAUUUAAUAAAAUGAUCCAUUAUUAAUGAUAAUUUGAUAAAAAUACUCUAGGGAUAACAGCGUAAUAAUUUUUGAUAGAACAUAUAGACAAAAUAGUUUGCGACCUCGAUGUUGGAUUAGGAUACUUUUUUAAUGAAGAUGUUAAAAAAAGAAGUUUGUUCAACUUUUAAAGUCCU
Molecule: ribosomal RNA, 404 nt
Filed under: Dermacentor andersoni
Lineage: Eukaryota; Metazoa; Arthropoda; Arachnida; Ixodida; Ixodidae
Description: partial 16S ribosomal RNA
Source: RNAcentral